GACUGGAUAGCUCAGCUGGUUAGAGUGUGGUGCUGAUAAUGCCAAGGUUGCAGGUUCGAUCCCUGUACAAGGAUGCA
Podarcis lilfordi (Lilford's wall lizard) is the source of this 77-nucleotide non-coding RNA. Lineage: Eukaryota; Metazoa; Chordata; Lepidosauria; Squamata; Lacertidae. The record is from the annotation of a GenBank genome assembly.